Molecule: unclassified non-coding RNA, 362 nt
Filed under: soil metagenome
Description: partial contains 5.8S ribosomal RNA, internal transcribed spacer 2, and large subunit ribosomal RNA
Rfam family: 5.8S ribosomal RNA (bases 1-120)
Source: RNAcentral
GAUGAAGAACGCAGCGAAAUGCGAUAAGUAAUGUGAAUUGCAGAAUUCAGUGAAUCAUCGAAUCUUUGAACGCACCUUGCGCUCCUUGGUAUUCCGAGGAGCAUGCCUGUUUGAGUGUCAUUAAUAUAUCAACCUUCUCUUUUUUGAGUUGUUUGGAUGUGGGGGUUUGCUGGCCUCUUAAAUGAUUCAGCUCCCCUGAAAUGCAUUAGCAGAACAACCCGUUCAUUAGCGUGAUAAUUAUCUAUGCUAUUGAAUGUGAGGGCAGUUCAGCUUUCUAACCGUCCUUGGACAAUUCAUCAUUAAUGUGACCUCAAAUCAGGUAGGACUACCCGCUGAACUUAAGCAUAUCAAUAAGCGGAGGA